AUGCUUGUUUCAGUAGGACAUAAAUGAAAAUUAUAACAAUACAGAGAUUAACACGGCCCAUUAGCAAGGAUGGCAUGCAAAUUUGUGAAGCAGUCCAUAAUUUU
Small nuclear RNA from Nannospalax galili (Upper Galilee mountains blind mole rat), 104 nucleotides. Lineage: Eukaryota; Metazoa; Chordata; Mammalia; Rodentia; Spalacidae. The record is from Ensembl.